Etheostoma cragini (Arkansas darter) is the source of this 96-nucleotide long non-coding RNA. RefSeq lists it as uncharacterized. NCBI's taxonomy places the organism in Eukaryota, Metazoa, Chordata, Actinopteri, Perciformes, Percidae. The record is from RefSeq and is a predicted model, not a curated record. The transcript is spliced from 3 exons.
UGUUUUUAAAUUUGUACCAUGUGAGGCGUUCGUCCAAUCAGGUGCAGCCAUCGCGGUUGUAGGAGGGUGUAGCCUGUUUUGUCCGUGGUCAAUGAA